This is a long non-coding RNA of Vombatus ursinus (common wombat), 527 nucleotides long. RefSeq lists it as uncharacterized. NCBI's taxonomy places the organism in Eukaryota, Metazoa, Chordata, Mammalia, Diprotodontia, Vombatidae. The transcript has 3 exons. The record is from RefSeq and is a predicted model, not a curated record.
UCUCUUUUUUCUCCUUCGUAGCUGGGGUUCACAAUCCGUUGCCAUCCGGACUCAGCGUUUGCCACCCGCCCUCCAGACUAACCUUGUUGUUUUCCUCUCUCUCUACAGCUUCCAUUGCGCCAUGAGAGCCAAAUGGAGGAAGAAGCGAAUGCGUAGGCUGAAACGCAAGAGGAGAAAGAUGAGGCAGAGGUCCAAGUAACCAGACUGUGCUGACCACGGAAGCCACAGGAGCAGAGAUGGAAUGACCCCUGGUGACAUUCUCAGGAAGGCAGAAACCUUUGGGAGACAUCACCCCACCCUACGAAGGACUCUACUACUAGCUCUACCACCAUCUGAUAAGGACUCUUACCACCAUCUGAAGACCUCCCUGACAAAAGGACAUGCCAUCAUUUGAUGCAAAUUCCAUCUACCUGCCUCUUGACUUUGUGUCACGGGACUUGUGUCAUUCCGGACUGGUUGUUUUCUUUGUGGUUUAAGUGUAGCACGCCUGUAUAAUAAAUCCUCACUACUUUCAUGUUUGAAAAAAU